This 253-nucleotide ribosomal RNA is filed under the name uncultured bacterium. RNAcentral describes it as "partial 16S ribosomal RNA". It matches the Rfam family "Bacterial small subunit ribosomal RNA", at positions 524 to 776 of the family's 1533-position model. The record is from RNAcentral.
CACGUAGGGGGCAAGCGUUGCUCGGAAUCACUGGGCGUAAAGGGUGCGUAGGCGGGUCUUUAAGUCAGGGGUGAAAUCCUGGAGCUCAACUCCAGAACUGCCUUUGAUACUGAGGAUCUUGAGUACGGGAGAGGUGAGUGGAACUGCGAGUGUAGAGGUGAAAUUCGUAGAUAUUCGCAAGAACACCAGUGGCGAAGGCGGCUCACUGGCCCGUAACUGACGCUGAGGCACGAAAGCGUGGGGAGCAAACAGG